AGAAUUUUAAGACAGAAACAUUGCUUGCAGAGUUUUCUAAGGGAUUCUGAUCAACUUACGUCUGAAAAAGUGUGGUAAAAUCUGAACACUAACAUUGCAGCCCUUUGACCUCAAAUGUAUAUGCUGAAAAUUCAGAUCCCAUCUGGACCCAGUAAAUGUGUGACUUGAAAGAAGGCAAAUGAAUGAAGACUUCCAUACUCUGGAGCUUCAGCAGAGAGGUGCUGCAGAUCACCUGGGAAAAUUCCAGUACUAUGCUUUUGCACUUUGAGGAAUAAACUGAGAAGGCUACAGCUAUACUUCAUGGAUGUUUAUGUGCAGGCCUUGUCUGCUCACUGGGCUCCAGAACCACAGGACUUACCCUUGGUCUUUCCUGUGCUGCUGGACUCCUGGAGAGCAGGUCUGUGGCUGAUGAGGUUGGUGUCCUGCUCUUGUCUCCUGGCUCUUUUGUUUGAGCUGGUGGCAAGGUCUGAGCAGAAUUUUGCUCACAACCUUUCCAGCCCCUCCUUUAUCAAAGAACUUGAGACAAAUUCAAAAUUAGGAAAGGCCACAUUUCAAAAGUGUCUUAUGCUAGUGGCUGUGGUGAUUUUACCAAUUUUAUGACAUCUACUUUUAACUUUACAGAGUACGAUCUUACUGUAAUUACUGCUUGCAGCUUUAAGGGAGCUGGUGUGGACCAUACUAUUUUAAAGGUAUAAGCUCUAUUGAUCUAAAGUAUUCUGAGUGAUAAACAGCUGCUCAGGUUGAUUAAAGCUGAAGGGAAGCUGAAGCAUUUAAUCAAUCUCCAAAGCUGCUCCAAGUAUAUUACAAAGCAAUUGUGAUUAUUGCUAUUAUAUGACAAGCUAUAUCAUAAUAAAGAAAGAGGGAUCAUUUUUCUUAGAAGCA
This 882-nucleotide long non-coding RNA is filed under the name Cyanistes caeruleus (blue tit). Its description in RNAcentral is "lncRNA (ENSCCEG00000003170.1)". The record is from RNAcentral. Lineage: Eukaryota; Metazoa; Chordata; Aves; Passeriformes; Paridae.